AACCAUGUGAUGCUAAACAAUUUACUCCUGAGAUUUUCUGAGGACUUAACAAAUUCGAGCUUUUUAAAACUGAUGGUUG
This is a non-coding RNA of Zea mays, 79 nucleotides long. The record is from Rfam. NCBI's taxonomy places the organism in Eukaryota, Viridiplantae, Streptophyta, Magnoliopsida, Poales, Poaceae.